Molecule: transfer RNA, 74 nt
Filed under: candidate division MSBL1 archaeon SCGC-AAA259I09
Lineage: Archaea; Methanobacteriati; Methanobacteriota
Description: tRNA-Arg
Rfam family: tRNA
About the family: Transfer RNA (tRNA) molecules are approximately 80 nucleotides in length. Their secondary structure includes four short double-helical elements and three loops (D, anti-codon, and T loops).
Source: RNAcentral
GGGCUCGUAGCUCAGUUGGAUAGAGCGGCAGCCUCCUAAGCUGCAAGUCGCGGGUUCAAAUCCCGCCGGGCCCG